UGCCAGCCACCGCGGUCACACAAGAAACCCAAAUUAAUCGUAUACGGCGUAAAGAGUGGUACUAUACUAUCAAGGAAACUAAGAUCAAAAUGCAACUGAGCAGUCAUAAGCCCAAGAUGUACCUAAGACCACCCUUAAGACGAUCUCAGCACCCCUGAUCAAUUAAACCCCACGAAAGCUAAGGCCCAAACUGGGAUUAGAUACCCCACUAUGCUUAGCCCUAAAUCCUGAUGUUUACCCUACCAAAACAUCCGCCCGAGAACUACGAGCACAAACGCUUAAAACUCUAAGGACUUGGCGGUGCCCCAAACCCACCUAGAGGAGCCUGUUCUAUAAUCGAUAACCCACGAUACACCCGACCACUUCUUGCUAAGGCAGCCUACAUACCGCCGUCGCCAGCUCACCUUGCUUGAAGGUACAACAGUGAGCACAAUAGCAAUCCGCUAGCAAGACAGGUCAAGGUAUAGCCUAUGGAGUGGAAGAAAUGGGCUACAUUUUCUAGUAUAGAAAAACGGAAGAGGGUGUGAAACCUCCCUCAGAAGGCGGAUUUAGCAGUAAAGUGAGACAAUAAAGCCCACUUUAAAUUGGCCCUAGGGCACGUACAUACCGCCCGUCACCCUCCUCGCAAGCUAUAACCCCCAAUAACUCAAUAUGUCGCCCAAGCUAAAGAUGCGGGUAAGUCGUAACAAGGUAAGUGUACCGGAAGGUGCACUUAGCAUAU
RNAcentral lists this ribosomal RNA (721 nucleotides) under Charadrius vociferus (killdeer). RNAcentral's name for it is "partial 12S ribosomal RNA". It matches the Rfam family "Bacterial small subunit ribosomal RNA", at positions 506 to 1533 of the family's 1533-position model. The record is from RNAcentral. Lineage: Eukaryota; Metazoa; Chordata; Aves; Charadriiformes; Charadriidae.